CGGAGGGUGCAAGCGUUAUCCGGAUUCACUGGGUUUAAAGGGUGCGUAGGUGGGUUGGUAAGUCAGUGGUGAAAUCUCCAGGCUUAACUUGGAAACUGCCAUUGAUACUAUCAGUCUUGAAUGCCGUGGAGAUGAGCGGAAUAUGUCAUGUAGCGGUGAAAUGCUUAGAUAUGACAUAGAACACCGAUUGCGAAGGCAGCUCGUUACACGAAUAUUGACACUGAGGCACGAAAGCGUGGGGAUCAAACAGGAUUAGAUACCCUGGUAGUCCACGCCCUAAACGAUGGAUACUCGACAUUUGCAAUAAACUGCAAGUGUCUGAGCGAAAGCAUUAAGUAUCCCACCUGGGAAGUACGACCGCAAGGUUG
This 368-nucleotide ribosomal RNA is filed under the name uncultured organism. Its description in RNAcentral is "bacterial SSU rRNA". It matches the Rfam family "Bacterial small subunit ribosomal RNA", at positions 526 to 896 of the family's 1533-position model. The record is from RNAcentral.